GCGCCUACGGGAGGCAGCAGUGGGGAAUAUUGCACAAUGGGGGAAACCCUGAUGCAGCGACGCCGCGUGAGUGAAGAAGUAUUUCGGUAUGUAAAGCUCUAUCAGCAGGGAAGAAAUAGCGACCUUUGGGUCGCCAGACGGUACCUGAUUAAGAAGCCCCGGCUAACUACGUGCCAGCAGCCGCGGUAAUACGUAGGGGGCAAGCGUUAUCCGGAUUUACUGGGUGUAAAGGGUGCGCAGGCGGAGGUGCAAGUCAGUGGUCAAAUUGCGGGGCUCAACCCCGUACUGCCGUUGAAACUGCAUCC
Molecule: ribosomal RNA, 305 nt
Filed under: uncultured bacterium
Lineage: Bacteria
Description: bacterial SSU rRNA
Rfam family: Bacterial small subunit ribosomal RNA
Source: RNAcentral